Molecule: small RNA, 77 nt
Filed under: Limnoraphis robusta CS-951
Lineage: Bacteria; Bacillati; Cyanobacteriota; Cyanophyceae; Oscillatoriales; Sirenicapillariaceae
Description: CyVA-1 RNA
Rfam family: CyVA-1 RNA
About the family: Cyanobacteria, Acidobacteria (1 example), Verrucomicrobia (1 example). Big IGRs
Source: Rfam by way of RNAcentral
CAACGAUAGCAAGUGUUUUGUUGUGUGACUUGUGAAUUGCCCCCGAAGGAGAACGACGUCAGGGGAGCAAAUCGUUU